RNAcentral lists this long non-coding RNA (3563 nucleotides) under Parus major (Great Tit). RNAcentral's name for it is "lncRNA (ENSPMJG00000017981.1)". The record is from RNAcentral. Lineage: Eukaryota; Metazoa; Chordata; Aves; Passeriformes; Paridae.
GCACCCUCGGGACUCAUCCUACACCCUCGGGAUGGUGCUGAGCACCCUCGGGACUCAUCCCGCACCCUCGGGACUUAUCCUGCACCCUCGGGACUUAUCCUGCAACCUCGGGACGGUGCUGAGCACUUUCGGGAUGGUGCUCAGCACCCUCAGGACGGUGCUCAGCACCCUCGGGAUGGUGCUCAGCACCUUCAGGACUCAUCCUGCACCCUCAGGACUCAUCCUGCACCCUCGGCACGGUGCUCAGCACCUUAGGGAUGGUGCUCAGCACCCUCGGGACUUAUCCUGCACCCUCGGGACUCAUCCUGCACCCUCGGGAUGGUGCUCAGAACACUCGGGAUGGUGCUCAGCACCCUUGGGACGAUACUCAGCACCUUUGGGACUCAUCCUGCAUCUUCGGGACUCAUCCUGUGACCCUGACUGUGCCAUCCCUUGUCCCCAGGUGACGUUUGACAACCGCGCCCACAGCGGGCGAGUGCGGAUCCGCCUGGACACCCACGUGGUCAUCCGGGAGUGCCACCACCCCUCGCUGCCUGGCACAGGUGACAGCGGUGUCCCCACAGAACUUCUCAGACUACGACGUGUGCAGCAUCCUUCUGGGGACAUCCACGCUGCUCGUCUGGGUCAAUGUCAUCCGGUACCAGACCUUCUUCCAGAAAUACAACGUGAGUGACACUGGGGACACACCUGGGGACAGCUGGGGACACACCUGGGGACACACCUGGGGACACCUGGGGACAUGGACAGGGUUAAAUCCCAUUUUUCCUGCCCAAAAUCCUCUUUCUGACACUUGGGGUGGGGACACUUCCCAUUUUCCCUCCCCAAAUCCCCAUUUUCCCACCCCAAAUCCCCGUUUUCCCCUCGGGACGGUGCUCAGCACCCUCGGGACUCAUCCUGCACCCUCGGGAUAGUGCUCAGCACCCUCGGGACCUUUGACCCUGUUCCCUUUGAUCCCAUUACCUUUUUUCCCAAUUUCCGGUUCUCCCAUAAUUCCCUUUUUUUUCUUUAUUCCUGGUUUGAUGUUUUCUUUCCCGUUUUUUUUUCUUUUUCCCUAUUUCCAGGGUUUUUUCUUUAUUCCCGUUUCUCCCCCCGAUUCCCGUGAUUUUCCCGAUACCCAGUUUUUUCUUUAUUCCAGUUUUUUUCCCCCCGAUUCUCGGUUUUUCUUUUCCUGAUUCCUGGGAUUUUCCCUAUUCCCGGUUUUUCUUUAUUCCCGUUUUUUUUUCCCCAUUCCCGAUUUUUUGCCCCCAAUUCCCAUUUUCCUGAUUCCCACCUUUUCCCCCAAUUCCUGAUUUUCCCCCAAUUCCUGUUUAUUUUUCCCCGAUCCCGCCAUUUUCCUCUUAAACUGUGCCGGGGUUUCUUGCCCUCGCGGUGUCACCAUGGGAGCAGCCCUGGCGCGGGCGCUGCUGCUGCUCCUGCGGGCUUAGAACCCACAGGGAGAUCUAGAACCUCAGCACCCUGCAGGAUAGUCUAGAACCCCAAGGGUGACCUAGAACCUCAGCAACAGGCAGGAUAGUCUAGAACCCCACGGGGUGAUCUAGAAUCUCAGCACCGCUCAGCACCAAACAGGAUAGUCUGGAAACCCGCAGGACGGAUCCAGCACCUUCUGGAAGUUGCUCAGCACCCUCGGGAUGGUGCUCAGCACCCUCGGGACGCAUCCUGCACUCUCUGGAAGGCGCUCAGCACCUUUGGGACGCAUCCUGCUCGCUAAGGAAGACGCUUAGCACCCUCGGGACGCAUCCAGCACCUUCUGGAUGGCGCUCAGCCCCUUCUGGAAGGCGCUCAGCACCCUCGUGACAGACCCAGCACUUUCUGGGAGGUGCUCAGCACCCUUGGGACGCAACCUGCACCCUCUGGAAGGUGCUUGGCACCCUUGGGAUGCAUCAAGGACCAUCUGGAAGGCGCUUAGCACCCUCGGGACACAUGCUGCACCCUCUGGAAGGCGCUCAGCACCCUUGAUACACAUCCAGGACCAUCUGGAAGGUGCUCAGCACCGUCGGGACAGAUCCUACACCCUCUGGAAGGUGCUCAGCACCCUCGGGAUGCAUCCAGGACCCUCUGUCAGGUGCUCAGGACCCACAGGGAGAUCUAGAACCUCAGCACCGCUCAGCACAAGGCAGGAUAGUCUAGAACACCACCAAGGUUAUCUAGAACCUCAGCACCAGUCAGGAUAGUCUAGAACCCUGUGAGACGGAUACAGGACCUUCUGGAAGGCACUCAGCACCCUCGGGAUGCAUCCUGCCCCCUUUGGCAGGCGCUCAGGACUCACAGGGAGAUCUAGAACCUCAGCACCGCUCAGCACCAGGCAGGAUUGUCUAGAACCCCGCCGGGGUGAUCUAGAACCUCAGCACCAGUCAGGAUAGUCUAGAACCCCGCGGGAUGGAUACAGGACCUUCUGGAAGGCGCUCAGCACCCUCGGGACAGAUCCGUGACCUUCUGGAAGGUGCUCAGCACCUUCUGGACCAAUCCUGCACCCUCUGGAAGGCGCUCAGCACCAUUGGGUAGCAUCCAUGACCAUCUGGAAGGUUCUCAGCACCCUCGGGACAGAUCCAGCACCCUCUGCAAGGCUCUCAGCACCUUGUGGAAGGCACUCAGCACCCUCAGGACGCAUCCUGCACCUUCUGGAAGGCGCUUAGCACCCUCAGAACGCAUCCAGCACCUUCUGGAAGGUGCUCAGCAUCACCGGGACGGAUCCAGCACCCUCUGGAAGGCACUCAGCACUCUCGGAAAGGAUCCUGCACCCUCAGAAAGGCGCUCAGCACCCACGAGACGGAUCCUGCACCUUCUGGAAGGCGUUCAGCACCCUCGGGACAGAUCCAGGACCUUCUGGAAGAUGCUCAGCACCCUCAGGACGGAUCCAGCACUUACUAGAAGGCGUUCAGCACCCUCGGGACACAUCCAGGACCUUCUGGAAGGUUCUCAGCACAUAAAUGCCAACUUACCUGCUCAUCUCUGCUCCUUGGCAUGCUCAGGGCAGCAGCAACACCUGCAAAGACAGAGCGGAAAAAAGCACUCUUUUCUCCCACCCACACAAGGUGGGAUUCAUGAUGUGGUUCUUUUAUUCGAUCUUAGAAUACAAAAGAUUAUCAGCAAACCAGGGACUUCAAACAGAAAAAAAACAGUUAGUCCCACCUCUUGUACUCAAAGAUCCCCUGUAAAGUUCUGAAGACAGAGCCCUCAAACGAGUGUGGGGUGCUUUGCACCGAGGCAUGUGCAGUUUGUGAGAAAUUCAAAUCGCCUCCCUUGCUUUCUAGACACUGCUCACCGGCGUGGCAGGCUAGGGGCAGCUGAAGCGAAAUGUCCUUCCCCUGAUACUGACUACACAACAACUCUGCAACCCCUUCUGUGUCUCAGAAUCCUGUUCGUGAUGUCAAUUUGUGUCAUGAUCUGCAAGGUGGGAUUCAUGAUGUGGUUCUUUUAUUUGAUCUUAGAUUACAAAAGAUUAUCAGCAAACCAGGGACUUAAACAGCAGAACACACUUAGACCUUGACCCACCAGUCCUCAGGCAUCCUGGGCUGGGACAUCUUACAAGUAGACCACCUAAAAUAAAACAACAAGAGAUUACA